UACAGUUUCUCUACACACAACCCACAGUGGACCACAGUGGACUGGUCCCAUUUGGGCAUUCCUUCUAUACUAGCCUGGUAGUCUCAGAAACUUCGUUGAGUCCUGGAGGUGAAGGAUCUGUAUAGCUCAUCCCACACUGUCAUAUAAUCAGGGCAAGCUCCAUGGGACGUCAAACUAUCAGACAGUUGCUUGGAGAGAAUGGAAGAAGCUGGAGGUAGGGGAAUCAGAGGCAGGAGUUUUACAACUUGAACAUUUGGUAGCAUCCACCCAGGACUACAAUAAGAAGACAGAAGGGCCUCUACCUAUGCUCAGUGCUUAGAUGAACGCUGCUAGUCUUGUCUUUGACAAGUGAUUUUUAUCUCCUUGGCUGACCAAAUCCUCCCCUGCCCUUUUUUUGUUAGAUACAUUAUUAUAUCUUCAAUCUGGUUAAUGUCCAUUCUUAUUGCCUGGGGAGCCACUUGACCGCUUUAAGGUACUUGCUAAUCUCUGCUCUGAUCCAUUAGGAAUUCAUUUAGAGUUUAACUCUCUGAGGGCAACUUCAUUUCUAAGGCUUGAGGACCACAGUGCAGUAACAAACAGAGGAGAGGAAGGUAGAGGUCCCAGCAAAGGGGGCUGCCUCAUUGGGACAGUAUAUUGCAAACCCUCAGGAAGGCAGGAGGAUAACAGGAAGACCCUAAGGAAAUGAGAGACUCAGGGUGAGGGGUGACAAACAGGAAAAAGGAAAAGUGAAUGCCAACCUCGACUUUGCAAUUUUCC
Molecule: long non-coding RNA, 756 nt
Filed under: Homo sapiens (human)
Lineage: Eukaryota; Metazoa; Chordata; Mammalia; Primates; Hominidae
Description: HSALNT0168475
Source: RNAcentral